This 647-nucleotide long non-coding RNA is filed under the name Nicotiana benthamiana. RNAcentral's name for it is "long non-coding RNA (NBEN_LNC041947)". The record is from RNAcentral. Lineage: Eukaryota; Viridiplantae; Streptophyta; Magnoliopsida; Solanales; Solanaceae.
UUUUGUUUCCUGUGUCAAACAAAUUUAAUUUAGCUCCAAAAUGCUGACCACCAAUUUCAAUCCAAAUAAGAAGCUAAAACUCUCAGAAAUUUAACAAAUUAUCCAGAUACUUUCUCGUCCAAAUUACAAAAAAUCAGCACAUAUCACCCAAUUGACAAAUACAAAUAAAUGAAUAAAAAGUAUAUAACAGACCUCUUCGGAUUCGGGCUCUUUCUUCUCCGUAUUACGAGAGGAUUUCUAUCAUCUUCUGAUAUAUCUUUAGAGUAGAAAAAGAAACGAAUAUUGAGAAAACAAAGAGGAGGAAAAUGUAGAGAGUGAUUGACAAUGUUCUUCUUGUAGUCCUAUGGCCUCUGUUCACCAUUUUUUUCUUUAAAAAAAAAAUCGAUAGAACUCUGCUGCUAUAUUUCUAGGCUGAUCAAUGGCUGCAUAAUUUGCGAUUAUGUUGCUUAAACUUUAAGGUAUAAAAUUGUGGGGAAUUUAUUGGUUUAGGUUGGGAUUCAGAUUCAGUGUUAAGAGUUGGAAGACGAGAUCAGAGGAUGUUUAAGUUUGAGAAAAUUGCAUUUUUGCACCCACUACUUCUAUAGAUAAUUCUUAGAUUGCGCGGAUUUCUUACACCUGGUGCAUCUCAGCUUCCAUUUCCUCUACUU